Non-coding RNA from Rhincodon typus (whale shark), 690 nucleotides. The record is from the annotation of a RefSeq genome assembly. NCBI's taxonomy places the organism in Eukaryota, Metazoa, Chordata, Chondrichthyes, Orectolobiformes, Rhincodontidae.
ACGGUGACGUUAACCUGCGUUGUGUACAAUCUUCCUUUUGAAGCCAAUUUCACCUGGAUACACGACAAGAAGACUCUGAAAUCAGAGAUUGUUGACCAGUCCGGAGAGCAUUCCGAAGGUGUGAUCAGCAAGUUAGAUAUUUCUACUGAAGCCUGGCUGAGUGGGGAUAAAUAUGAAUGCGUGGUGAACAAUCAGUAUCUACCGACUCCACUGAGAGACUCUAUCCACAAGGAGAAAUUGGUAAAUCCGCUGGAGCCAUUGGUGUCCGUCCUCCUGCCAACGACAGAAGAAGUCUCCGCACAGAGGUUUGUUUCGCUCACCUGUUUAGUGAGAGGUUUCAGGCCCCGAGAGAUCUUCGUCAAGUGGACAACCAACGACAAGCCCGUUAAUCCCACUAACUAUAAGAACACCGAGGUGACGGCAGAGAGCGAUAACACCUCCUUCUUCUUGUACAGCCUAUUAUCCAUUGCUGCGGAGGAGUGGGCCAGCGGUGCUUCUUACUCCUGUGUGGUGGGACAUGAAGCGAUUCCAUUGAAGAUCAUCAACAGAACGGUUGAUAAAUCCAGCGGUAAACCGAGUUUUGUGAAUAUUUCGCUUGCACUGAUGGACACCGUAAAUUCAUGCCAAUGAAAAUCUCAAGGUUACACUUAAGAAUUCAAUAAAAGUCAUAAAGUGUUUUCUUUCCUCCAA